CCUACGGGCGGCAGCAGUGAGGAAGAUUGGUCAAUGGACGAGAGACUGAACCAGCCAAGGAGCGUGAAGGAUGACUGCCCUAUGGGUUGUAAACUUCUUUUAUAUGGGAAUAAAAUGUUCCACGUGUGGGCUUUUGUAUGUACCAUAUGAAUAAGGAUCGGCUAACUCCGUGCCAGCAGCCGCGGUAAUACGGAGGAUCCGAGCGUUAUCCGGAUUUAUUGGGUUUAAAGGGAGCGUAGGUGGAUUGUUAAGUCAGUUGUGAAAGUUUGCGGCUCAACCGUAAAAUUGCAGUUGAAACUGGCAGUCUUGAGUACAGUAGAGGUGGGCGGAAUUCGUGGUGUAGCGGUGAAAUGCUUAGAUAUCACGAAGAACUCCGAUUGCGAAGGCAACUCACUGGACUGCAACUGACACUGAGGCUCGAAAGUGUGGGUAUCAAACAGGAUUAGAUACCCCAGUAGUC
RNAcentral lists this ribosomal RNA (460 nucleotides) under uncultured bacterium. Its description in RNAcentral is "partial 16S ribosomal RNA". It matches the Rfam family "Bacterial small subunit ribosomal RNA", at positions 338 to 795 of the family's 1533-position model. The record is from RNAcentral.